ACCAGACUCCUACGGGAGGCAGCAGUGGGGGAUAUUGCACAAUGGGGGGAACCCUGAUGCAGCGACGCCGCGUGGGUGAAGAAGCGCCUCGGCGCGUAAAGCCCUGUCAGCAGGGAAGAAAAUGACGGUACCUGAAGAAGAAGCCCCGGCUAACUACGUGCCAGCAGCCGCGGUAAUACGUAGGGGGCAAGCGUUAUCCGGAUUUACUGGGUGUAAAGGGGGCGCAGACGGCGAUGCAAGCCAGGAGUGAAAGCCCGGGGCCCAACCCCGGGACUGCUCUUGGAACUGCGUGGCUGGAGUGCAGGAGGGGCAGGCGGAAUUCCUGGUGUAGCGGUGAAAUGCGUAGAUAUCAGGGGGAACACCGGUGGCGAAGGCGGCCUGCUGGACUGCAACUGACGUUGAGGCCCGAAAGCGUGGGGAGCAAACAGGAUUAGAUACCCCCGUAGG
This 447-nucleotide ribosomal RNA is filed under the name uncultured bacterium. Its description in RNAcentral is "bacterial SSU rRNA". It matches the Rfam family "Bacterial small subunit ribosomal RNA", at positions 330 to 794 of the family's 1533-position model. The record is from RNAcentral.